GCCAUGCCGCGUGUGUGAAGAAGCCUUUCGGGUUGUAAAGCACUUUCAGUCAGGAGGAAAGGUUAGUAGUUAAUACCUGCUAGCUGUGACGUUACUGACAGAAGAAGCACCGGCUAACUCCGUGCCAGCAGCCGCGGUAAUACGGAGGGUGCGAGCGUUAAUCGGAAUUACUGGGCGUAAAGCGUACGCAGGCGGUUUGUUAAGCGAGAUGUGAAAGCCCCGGGCUCAACCUGGGAACUGCAUUUCGAACUGGCAAACUAGAGUGUGAUAGAGGGUGGUAGAAUUUCAGGUGUAGCGGUGAAAUGCGUAGAGAUCUGAAGGAAUACCGAUGGCGAAGGCAGCCACCUGGGUCAACACUGACGCUCAUGUACGAAAGCGUGGGGAGCAAACAGGAUUAGAUACCCUGGUAGUCCACGCCGUAAACGAUGUCUACUAGAAGCUCGGAGCCUCGGCUCUGUUUUUCAAAGCUAACGCAUUAAGUAGACCGCCUGG
Molecule: ribosomal RNA, 492 nt
Filed under: Pseudoalteromonas sp. 18III/A01/055
Lineage: Bacteria; Pseudomonadati; Pseudomonadota; Gammaproteobacteria; Alteromonadales; Pseudoalteromonadaceae
Description: bacterial SSU rRNA
Rfam family: Bacterial small subunit ribosomal RNA
Source: RNAcentral